UUGAAGGAAAGUCAAGAGAUUCCCAUUGAUUUCUAAUCGAAAUAUGAUAUUUAAUUUAAAGCCAUAUAUUUCAG
This 74-nucleotide small nucleolar RNA is filed under the name Oryza sativa Indica Group (long-grained rice). RNAcentral's name for it is "Small nucleolar RNA R12". Lineage: Eukaryota; Viridiplantae; Streptophyta; Magnoliopsida; Poales; Poaceae. The record is from RNAcentral. RNAcentral also lists the same sequence under 1 other name.